This 241-nucleotide long non-coding RNA is filed under the name Phoenix dactylifera (date palm). RNAcentral describes it as "long non-coding RNA (PDAC_LNC005664)". The record is from RNAcentral. Lineage: Eukaryota; Viridiplantae; Streptophyta; Magnoliopsida; Arecales; Arecaceae.
AUUUAAUUCUUAAUUAAAUUGGGUCAAGACCUUCCUACUUAGUUUGACUAAUGUGCGUGACUCCGAUAGGUUCGAACACUAAGCCGGUAGUACAUGGACAACUCCAUGCACUAAUCGAGGUGACCAUCUAGCAAUGAUACCCGACGUCCGGAUAGGUCGAAUAUGCAAAGCAACAUUCAAGAACCUAGACGUAUGGUUGUUGCAUAAUUCAUCCCUAUGACCAUCGAUGCUCAAGAUGACC